AUCCUUUUCUGUUCAUGAGCAUGGUGAUUGGGCGUUCGCGCUGUUGUGUGAGAUGUGUCUUCCUCUGGACCUUGUUACAACAUUGACACAUUGGCGCGUUACCUGUCUGAUG
Molecule: small nucleolar RNA, 112 nt
Filed under: Sciurus vulgaris (Eurasian red squirrel)
Lineage: Eukaryota; Metazoa; Chordata; Mammalia; Rodentia; Sciuridae
Description: Small nucleolar RNA U13 (ENSSVLG00005016155.1)
Rfam family: Small nucleolar RNA U13
Source: Rfam by way of RNAcentral